ACUCUGCCUCCCUCUUUUUUUUUUUUUUUAAAAAAAUAUGAUUUAUUUGGGAAGCACAGUGACAGAGAGAGGUCUCCCAUCUGCUGGUUCACUCCCCAGAUGGCCCCAACGGCCAGAGCUGGACCAGGCUGAAGCCAGGAGCUCCUUCCGGGUCUCCCACGCAGGUGCAGGUCCUUGUCGGCUGCUCCUGGCUCACCCUAGCCGUCGGGGAGUGGACCAGCAGGUGGAAGACCCGUCUGUCUGUCUGUCUGUCUGUCUCUCUCUCUCUCUCUCUCUCUGUCUCCCCCCCAUGUCUCCCUUUCUCCUCCUUCCUGUGUCUUCCUCUCUCUCCCUGUUAACUCUUUCAGAUAAAUAAUUCAUGUUUUAAAAAGCAGCGUGGACCCUCGCGUGCGCCCCUUCCUGGAGCUGUGUCGAGGACCAAGGCGGUGGGCGCGUCUGCCCUCGGGGUUCCUCGCCAGGGACAAAGUCCAGCUCUCCUGUGAACUCGCCAUGUUGGGUUUGACAGCUUCCCUGAUGAGUCUGUCGUGCUAGAAACACACGUGCCGACUUUUGCAUGUUGUGUGAUGGAAUACGAGCCCCGUGGAAGGUCUGCAGGACUUGGUGCACCGGUGUUUUCCAAACAGCCAGGCAGGAGGUGACCAAAUCAAACGUCGCUGGAUACCAGAUGGACCACCGGGCCAGCGUCAUGGAAAGUAAUGCCAGUGUUAUAGGAACAGAUCACCAUGUUUAGACUGAGCAUUUCUCUUCAAGUUGCACAGGUUGACAAAGCUGUUGACAGAGAGCUGCUUUUGAUGAACAAACCCACACCUUCCAUUGUUUGAAACAGAUGACACGGUUACGAUUUCGCAGACCUGAAGCUAGAGAAGAAAUCUGAGGAGCAGGCUAGAGGAAUCAUAGGAGGCAGAAUGACAGAGAGAAAGAGAGACACAGACAGCGGAGAUCUUCCGUCUGCUGGUUCACUACCCAAAUACCUGCCACACUCAUGGCUGAGUCAAGCCAAAGCCAAGAGCCGGAAAUGCAGUCCAGGUCUCCCACAUGGGUAAGAGGGACCCAAGUACUUGGACCAUCAUCUGCUGCUCCCCAGGGUAUGCAUGAGCAAGAAGCUGGAUUGGAAGCAGAAUGGAGACAGACCCAGGGCUCCAGUGUGUGACGUAGGCAUCAUGAGCACAUCUUUACUGCAUCAAAUGCCCAUCCUUAAAUUGAUCUUCUUAUUGGCAAAGGACCUGGUAUGAAGUUGGCUAGCAUGAGCCAGCUUUCCUCAGGACAAUGUCAUCCAGAGACUGAGGCCCUAGGUGCCCCAGUCUUGGCGGGGUUCCCAGCCAUGGCCUCCUUCCCACUCUCCCAUGUAUUCCAUGCCCUGGCCUGCCCACGGUGUGCCUCCUGCAGGUCCUACAGUGCUGAGCUCAUCCAUGACACAGAGCCUCACUAUAGACUUGAAACAGGUUUUUUACUGCUUCUUCUCCAAGCUACCUCCUCCUCACCUGUCAAGAUCCAAUUCAAGGCUGGCGCCGCGGCUCACUAGGCUAAUCCUCCACACUGCGGCGCUGGCACACUGGGUUCUAGUCCCGGUCGGGGCGCCGGAUUCUGUCCCGGUUGCCCCUCUUCCAAGCCAGCUCUCUGCUGUGGCCCGGGAGUGCAGUGGAGGAUGACCCAAGUGCUUGGGCCCUGCACCCCAUGGGAGACCAAGAGAAGCACCUGGCUCCUGCCAUCAGAUCAGCGCAGUACGCCGGCUGCAGCGCACCGGCCGCGGCGGCCAUUGGAGGGUAAACCAAUGGCGAAGAGAAACCUUUCUCUCUGUCUCUCUCUCUCUCUCUCUCUCUCUCUCACUGUCCACUCUGCCUGUCAAAUAAAUAAAUAAAUAAAAAGAUCCAAUUCAAAAUCUCCUUGUCCAGGGAAGCCAGUCUGUCCCCUUAGCCUUGACUGCGUUCCUGUUUCAGUCCUUGCAACUUUUUGUACUUUCCCUCUACAGUCCCUACCACAAAUGCAGUGAAGUAAUCAUCUGUUUUAUUCUUAAAAAAAAAGAUUUAUUUGUUUAUUUGAAAGGCAGAGUUACAGAGAGAGGUAGAGACAGAGAGGUCUUACAUCUGCUGGUUCGCUCCCCAGAUGGCCGCAACAGCCACAGCUGGGCCAGCCCAAAGCCUGGAGCCAGGAGCUUCCUCUGGAUCUCCCCCAUGAGUAUAGGGACCCAAGGCCUUGGGCCAUCUUCUACUGCUUUUUCAGGCCAUAGCAGAGAGCUGGAUCGGAAGAGGAGCAGCCAGGUCUUGAGCCGGCACCCGUGAGGGAUGCCGGCACUGCAGGCUGCGGCUUUACUUGCUAUACCCUGUGUGAUUCUUUAAUAUCUGUCUCCCUCACUUGACUGUAAGUUCUGGCUAUCAGGGAUCACAAGCGUGCUUCAAAAUGUGUGUGGAAAAGUGAGAUGAAAAGAUUCAUUUAUUUUGGGGCCAGUGCUGUGGCAUAGCGAGUUAAGGCUAUGUUAUGGGCGCCAGUUCAAGCUGCCCCACUUCUGAUCCAGCUCUCUGCUAUGGCCUGGGAAAGCAGUAGAAGAUGGCCCAAGUCCUUGGGCCCCUGCACCCACGUGGGAGACCUGGAAGAGGCUCCUGACUCCUGGCUUCGGAUCGGCACAGCGCUGGCCGUUGUGGCCAAUUGGGGAGUGAACCAGCAGAUGAAAGACCUCUCUUUCCACCUUUGCCGCUAUAACUCUGCCUUUCAAAUAUACAAAUAAAUCUUUAAACAACAACAACAAAAUUUCAUUGACUUUGGUGUGUAAAACUUUGAAAUCUGACAUUGAGGUGUAGCAGAUUAAGCUCAAGCUUGUGAUGCUGGCAUCCAUCUCAGAGUGCCAGCUACAGUCCUGGCUAAUCCACUUUACCCAGCUGCCUGCUAAUGUUGCCCUCAGAGGACUGCUGCCACCCAUGUAGGAGACCCAGAGGCAGUUCCUGAGAGGCAGAGGCAGAGGCACAGAUAGUGAGCUCUUCCAUCUGCUGCUUCACUCCCCAGAUGGCUGCAACGGCUGGAGCUGGGCCGAUCCGAACCAGAAGCCAGUUUUCUGGGUCUCCCACUUGUGUGCAGGGACCCAAGGACUUGGGCCAUCUUCUGCUGCUUUCCCAGCUGCAUUAGCAGGGAGCUGGACCAGAAGUGGAGCAGCCAGGACUUGAACUGGUGCCCAUAUAGGAUGCUGGCACUGCAGGCGGUGGCUUUACCUACUAUGCCACAGCGCCAGCACCCCACUCACUCUUCUUGGUGUGUUUGAUUGGCAAUCCAAAUGCAUGUGAUUGGUUGAUUGAUUCCGUUAUAGAAACUGAGUUAUACAGAAAUGUACCACAAGAGUCACUGUAGAAGAUACGGCAGCGAGCGUAUCAGUCAGGGCUUUUCCACCACCAGAGGCAGAAGUGCAGUGGCUGGGACACAAACUGGCGUCCAGAUGGGAUGCCAGCUUUGUAGACGGCCACUUUACCUGUUACACCGCAGUCUCAGCCCCAGUUACUAGUUUCACUGUUGACUUCUACUCAAAAUCAAACCCACUCCUUGUUGACACAGAAACAGUCCUUAUGAGAAGAUGUAACCUGAAAACCAAAAACAAAAUAGCUGCUUGUCAGGCAGAGGGAGAAGAAUGGCACAUUUUUUGUGUGUUUAAAUUCACGUCCAGUCCAUUGAACUUGAACUUUUAUAAUAAUAUUAAGCCCAGACUGUGUUUUUAAUUAUUUUACAUUUACAGAAUGUCUACUUUAUUCUUUUCUAUAUAUUUCCUUU
Non-coding RNA from Oryctolagus cuniculus (rabbit), 3750 nucleotides. The record is from RefSeq and is a predicted model, not a curated record. NCBI's taxonomy places the organism in Eukaryota, Metazoa, Chordata, Mammalia, Lagomorpha, Leporidae.